This 77-nucleotide transfer RNA is filed under the name Acidaminobacter hydrogenoformans DSM 2784. RNAcentral's name for it is "tRNA_Arg_TCT". It matches the Rfam family "tRNA". From Rfam's summary of the family: Transfer RNA (tRNA) molecules are approximately 80 nucleotides in length. Their secondary structure includes four short double-helical elements and three loops (D, anti-codon, and T loops). Lineage: Bacteria; Bacillati; Bacillota; Clostridia; Peptostreptococcales; Acidaminobacteraceae. The record is from RNAcentral.
GCGUCCGUAGCUCAGUUGGAUAGAGCAACGGCCUUCUAAGCCGUGGGUCAGGGGUUCGAAUCCCUUCGGACGCGCCA